GACGAACGCUGGCGGCGUGCUUAACACAUGCAAGUCGAACGGAAAGGCCCUGCUUUUGUGGGGUGCUCGAGUGGCGAACGGGUGAGUAACACGUGAGUAACCUGCCCUUGACUUUGGGAUAACAUCAGGAAACUGGGGCUAAUACCGGAUAGGAGCUCCUGCUGCAUGGGGUGGGUUGGAAAGUGUCGGCGGUUGGGGAUGGACUCGCGGCUUAUCAGCUUGUUGGUGGGGUAGUGGCUUACCAAGGCGUUGACGGGUAGCCGGCCUGAGAGGGUGACCGGCCACAGUGGGACUGAGAUACGGGCCAGACGGCUACGGGAGGCAGGAGUGGGGAAUAGUGCACGAUGGGCGGAAGCCGGAUGCAGCGACUCCGCGUGCGGGAUGACGGCCUUCGGGGUGUAAACCGCGUUCGCGUGUGACGAAGCGUCAGUGACGGUAAUGGAUAAAGAAGCACCGGCUAACUACGUG
RNAcentral lists this ribosomal RNA (468 nucleotides) under uncultured bacterium. Its description in RNAcentral is "partial 16S ribosomal RNA". It matches the Rfam family "Bacterial small subunit ribosomal RNA", at positions 28 to 507 of the family's 1533-position model. The record is from RNAcentral.